GGCGUUCAGCCCCCUGCAUUUAAGGGAGAGAACUGAGAAUGACGCUGCGUAGUAAGCCAUGGGGGGUAGUGAAGGAAAAUAGAUUGAUAAGGAAAUGGUGGGGAGGGGAAAGGGUGGGUAUCAAAAGAUAGAAUAGGGAGAAGAAUUGUUAAGAAAAGUAAAGAUUCAUGGGGGUACAAAUAAACCCCCUAUGGGCUGUGAUUGCCCAAUAUUAUUCCCUCAACAAUUGGGGGGUACUCGUGUGGCAGUGAAGGCCGAUGACC
Non-coding RNA from Pelobates cultripes (western spadefoot toad), 263 nucleotides. NCBI's taxonomy places the organism in Eukaryota, Metazoa, Chordata, Amphibia, Anura, Pelobatidae. The record is from the annotation of a GenBank genome assembly.